GACAGAGGCCCCGAGCGUUAGGCGGAAUCACUGGGCUUAAAGCGUGUGUAGGCGGAAGAGUAAGUGUCUUGUGAAAUCCCACGGCUCAACCGUGGAACUGCUGGGCAUACUGCGGGUCUUGGGCCAACUAGGGGCAGCCGGAACAAGCGGUGGAGCGGUGAAAUGCGUAGAUAUCGCUUGGAACGCCGAAGGUGAAAACAGGCUGCUGGGGUUGCGCCGACGCUGAGACACGAAAGCCAGGGGAGCAAACGGG
This 253-nucleotide ribosomal RNA is filed under the name uncultured bacterium. Its description in RNAcentral is "partial 16S ribosomal RNA". It matches the Rfam family "Bacterial small subunit ribosomal RNA", at positions 524 to 776 of the family's 1533-position model. The record is from RNAcentral.